AGAGUUUGAUCAUGGCUCAGAGCGAACGGCGGCAGUAACACAUGCAAGUCGAGCGGGCGUAGCAAUACGUCAGCGGCAGACGGGUGAGUAACGCGUGGGAACAUACCUUUUGGUUCGGAACAACACAGGGAAACUUGUGCUAAUACCGGAUAAGCCCUUACGGGGAAAGAUUUAUCGCCGAAAGAUUGGCCCGCGUCUGAUUAGCUAGUUGGUGAGGUAACGGCUCACCAAGGCGACGAUCAGUAGCUGGUCUGAGAGGAUGAUCAGCCACAUUGGGACUGAGACACGGCCCAAACUCCUACGGGAGGCAGCAGUGGGGAAUAUUGGACAAUGGGCGCAAGCCUGAUCCAGCCAUGCCGCGUGAGUGAUGAAGGCCCUAGGGUUGUAAAGCUCUUUUGUGCGGGAAGAUAAUGACGGUACCGCAAGAAUAAGCCCCGGCUAACUUCGUGCCAGCAGCCGCGGUAAUACGAAGGGGGCUAGCGUUGCUCGGAAUCACUGGGCGUAAAGGGUGCGUAGGCGGGUCUUUAAGUCAGGGGUGAAAUCCUGGAGCUCAACUCCAGAACUGCCUUUGAUACUGAAGAUCUUGAGUUCGGGAGAGGUGAGUGGAACUGCGAGUGUAGAGGUGAAAUUCGUAGAUAUUCGCAAGAACACCAGUGGCGAAGGCGGCUCACUGGCCCGAUACUGACGCUGAGGCACGAAAGCGUGGGGAGCAAACAGGAUUAGAUACCCUAGUAGUCC
This 738-nucleotide ribosomal RNA is filed under the name uncultured bacterium. Its description in RNAcentral is "bacterial SSU rRNA". It matches the Rfam family "Bacterial small subunit ribosomal RNA", at positions 8 to 796 of the family's 1533-position model. The record is from RNAcentral.